CCUACGGGAGGCAGCAGUGAGGAAUCUUCCGCAAUGGGCGAAAGCCUGACGGAGCGACACCGCGUGAAGGAUGAAGCCCUUUUCGGGUGUAAACUUCUGUUCUGAGGGACGAAAUUUUUGACGGUACCUCAGAAGAAAGCACCGGCUAAUUCUGUGCCAGCAGCCGCGGUAAGACAGAAGGUGCGAGCGUUACUCGGAAUUACUGGGCGUAAAGCGUCCGCAGGUUUUUCUGCACGUCUGGCGUAAAAGCACGGAGCUCAACUCCGUGUAUGUGCCGGAUACGACAGGAAUAGAGUCACUCAGAGGCAUCUGGAAUGCCGUGUGUAGGGGUAAAAUCCGUUGAUCCACGGUAGAACGCCAAAAGCGAAGGCAGGAUGCUGGGGGUGUACUGACACUCAUGGACGAAAGCGUGGGGAGCAAACGGGAUUAGAUACCCUGGU
This 440-nucleotide ribosomal RNA is filed under the name uncultured bacterium. RNAcentral describes it as "bacterial SSU rRNA". It matches the Rfam family "Bacterial small subunit ribosomal RNA", at positions 338 to 791 of the family's 1533-position model. The record is from RNAcentral.